GCUGGAGGAGAGCUCCUGCCUGGGGACAAACCACACAGGCCUGAGCCUGCGAGCUCUGCAGCCCCCUCGCUGCACAUCCUCCAGACAGCACACUCAGGAUCAGCCUGGGGGCUCUCCCAGUCCCCACCCACGCCCUGUGGGCUCCCCGGCCAGGCCGAGCAGCAGAGACCCCUGAGGGGGAGGUGCAGCUGCAGUGGGUGGCCUGGAUGUCGCAGCUCAGACCCACAGAGCCUUUCUGGGUGAAGGACGGGGUCCGGCAGGGCAGGACAGCACAAGGGCAGGUGCGCAGGGGGGCUGAGGGGCAGAGCCCCAGCGAGGUGCCAGGUGUUUGCCAUGUGCACAGGUGUGCUGGGCAGCGCUGCAGAUGGCUCUGGGGGUUUGGGGGGCUCUGGGCUGUCCCAGGGAGGAGCUAAGGAAGGAGAGAGAGCAGCCAGAGCAGGGUGGGCACAGGGGCAGAGCAGACCCUGCUGUUUGCAGCUCUGCCUCCCAUGGUUUCAAAGGCAAAUGGGGAUGGUCCCGGGUACUGCAAAAUACAAGAGCUUGAUUUCCCCACAUAAUUUCAAGGGCCACCACAUCUCUCAUGGUUGUCAGGCACAAUGGUUCCCACCCAGUGACUGUGAAAGCCCCAUUAGCCCCCAAAGAGCAAUUUUCCACUGUGCAGCACUUUCAUAGGCUGGCAGCUCCGCUCUCUGAAAAUUAGUAAUGAGAAAUAUGCUCUUGCACAGUCCUAAACCCACUGUUUCUAAUAAAGGGCUGUUUGCAGCAGCA
This is a long non-coding RNA of Ficedula albicollis (Collared flycatcher), 768 nucleotides long. RefSeq lists it as uncharacterized. NCBI's taxonomy places the organism in Eukaryota, Metazoa, Chordata, Aves, Passeriformes, Muscicapidae. The transcript has 2 exons. The record is from RefSeq and is a predicted model, not a curated record.